AAUAGAUGACCCCGUUGACUUUUUCUCACAUGUUUGACCAUCAGUCUUAUUCAAAAUUUUUACGUAAUUAUAAUUUAUUUUAUUAUUAGUUGUUUUAUCACUCAUAAUACUUUAAGUGUGAUUUAUAUCUUAUACAUUUGCAUAAAAUUUUGAAUAAGACGAAUGGUCAAACAUGUGAGAAAAAGUUAACGGCGUCAUCUAUU
This 203-nucleotide microRNA precursor is filed under the name Oryza sativa Indica Group (long-grained rice). Its description in RNAcentral is "MIR812 microRNA precursor family". It matches the Rfam family "MIR812 microRNA precursor family". Lineage: Eukaryota; Viridiplantae; Streptophyta; Magnoliopsida; Poales; Poaceae. The record is from Rfam by way of RNAcentral.